RNAcentral lists this transfer RNA (87 nucleotides) under Violaceomyces palustris. Its description in RNAcentral is "tRNA-Phe". The record is from RNAcentral. Lineage: Eukaryota; Fungi; Basidiomycota; Ustilaginomycetes; Violaceomycetales; Violaceomycetaceae.
GCCCUGAUAGCUCAGUUGGUACGAGCGUGCGACUGAAGGAUCCAAUAGAUCUUCGCAAGGUCACCUGUUCGACCCAGGUUCAGGGCA